RNAcentral lists this ribosomal RNA (509 nucleotides) under Dendryphantes hastatus. RNAcentral describes it as "partial 16S ribosomal RNA". The stretch from base 124 to 418 matches the Rfam family "Bacterial large subunit ribosomal RNA", at positions 2073 to 2647 of the family's 2925-position model. The record is from RNAcentral. Lineage: Eukaryota; Metazoa; Arthropoda; Arachnida; Araneae; Salticidae.
GUGCUAAGGUAGCAUAAUCAUUUGUCUUUUAAAUGAAGACUAGUACAAAAGAUUUAACAUCUUAAUUAAUAUUUUUUUUUAAAUAUUAUAAAUUAUUUUAAAAGUUAAAAAACUUUUAUUUAUUAAAUAGACGACAAGACCCUAUUGAACUUAACUUUAGUUAAACUGGGGCAGUUAAUUAAUUAUUAUUUUAAUAUAAAUAUUAUAAUAAAAAACCUUUUAAUUGAUAAAUCAGUUACCAUAGGGAUAACAGCGUAAUUUUAUUUUAAAGUUCUUAUUAAAAAUAAAGAUUGCGACCUCGAUGUUGAAUUAAUAACCUAAUUAAAGCAAAAUUUAAAAUAGGAAGUCUGUUCGACUUUUAAACAAUUACAUGAUUUGAGUUCAGACCGGUACAAGCCAGGUCGGUUUCUAUCUUUUAAAAAUUUUUUUGUAGUACGAAAGGACCUAAAAAUUAAAUUUUAUUUAAUAAAUUGGCAGAUUAAUGCAUUAGAAUUAGAAUCUAAUUAUCU